Long non-coding RNA from Artibeus jamaicensis (Jamaican fruit-eating bat), 807 nucleotides. RefSeq lists it as uncharacterized. The transcript is spliced from 2 exons. NCBI's taxonomy places the organism in Eukaryota, Metazoa, Chordata, Mammalia, Chiroptera, Phyllostomidae. The record is from RefSeq and is a predicted model, not a curated record.
AGAAAGGUAACGGGCAAACGCGUUAUCCAAUCACAUUAAGAUGAUAUGCAGCCAAUCGGAAAUAAAUGUUGAGAAGCCAAACUUGAGGGAGAAAUAAACAUAAAUUUUAAAUCAAUGAACGUGAAAAAAUACUCCCCACAAUUGUAUAGUGUAAGUAGGAAAAUGAAAAUAUGUUAAAAUUUUGUCUGUCACCACGAACCGAAGAGUAAUAGCUUCUGAAUGCGAUAGAUCCCUUCAGGCAUCUUUCGGUGACCCCGGCGUCGAUCACUGAUUUACGAAGGAUUGUAAUUCAUCGUGGUUACACCCGAGCGACGCUACAGUCCGAAAGCCAGUCACCGAGCCAAGUAAUUCUCUGCGUUAAGUUCUGGACGCGGGAUCAGACCCCAUUCCCGCCGAGAUGCUCACAGUCCUGUGGGAGAAGUCCGAACGGGAAACUGCGACGAUUCCGCAGACAGAUGCGCUUAACAAUGGGACGGUGUGUCAGUACGGGACCAGCUCUGCCACGUGGCGACAAUCGGCCGGAGCUGCCCAGCAGCUUCCCCCUCGGAGGGGGAAGGGUGCUCGGGUUUGCCGCCGUCUGCUGCUUGCCGUUACCUCCACAUCGAGGCUGACAGGCAGUUGCCACUUAUUGUUGUGCUUGUGCUGUUGUUGUUCUUAGGUAAACAGGAAGUUAAUAUAUUUCCCGUUGUUUUCAAACGUCGAAUAAUGAAAACGUGUGGAGUAGCUGACAAUAUGAUGUGAUGAUUAUGUGAUUUUUUUAAUAUUGUGCUGGAGAAUUUUUAAUAAACCCACAUAAGGAACAGUUGA